CAGCCGUAAACUAUGCGCGUUAGGUGUACUGGUGACCACGAGUCACCGGGGUGCCGAAGGGAAACCGUGAAACGUGCCGCCUGGGAAGUACGGUCGCAAGGCUGAAACUUAAAGGAAUUGGCGGGGGAGGCACCACAACGGGUGGGAGCCUGCGGGUUUAAUUUGGACUCAACGCCGGAAAUCUCACCGGAUAGGACAGACAUAUGAUAGUCGGGCUGAAGACUCUACUUGAUGAUCUGAGAGGAGGUGCAUGGCGUCAGUGACU
Molecule: ribosomal RNA, 265 nt
Filed under: uncultured archaeon
Lineage: Archaea
Description: partial 16S ribosomal RNA
Rfam family: Archaeal small subunit ribosomal RNA
Source: RNAcentral